This 394-nucleotide ribosomal RNA is filed under the name uncultured bacterium. Its description in RNAcentral is "bacterial SSU rRNA". It matches the Rfam family "Bacterial small subunit ribosomal RNA", at positions 358 to 769 of the family's 1533-position model. The record is from RNAcentral.
GGAAUCUUAGACAAUGGGGGAAACCCUGAUCUAGCCAUGCCGCGUGAGUGACGAAGGCCCUAGGGUCGUAAAGCUCUUUCGCCAGGGAUGAUAAUGACAGUACCUGGUAAAGAAACCCCGCAUACCUCCGUGCCAGCAGCCGCGGUAAUACGGAGGGGGUUAGCGUUGUUCGGAAUUACUGGGCGUAAAGCGCGCGUAGGCGGGCUGUUAAGUCGGGGGUGAAAGCCCGGGGCUCAACCCCGGAACUGCCUCCGAUACUGGCAGCCUAGAGUUCGAGAGAGGUGAGUGGAAUUCCGAGUGUAGAGGUGAAAUUCGUAGAUAUUCGGAGGAACACCAGUGGCGAAGGCGGCUCACUGGCUCGAUACUGACGCUGAGGUGCGAAAGCGUGGGGAGC